Molecule: ribosomal RNA, 514 nt
Filed under: uncultured bacterium
Lineage: Bacteria
Description: partial 16S ribosomal RNA
Rfam family: Bacterial small subunit ribosomal RNA
Source: RNAcentral
AGCGAACGCUGGCGGCGUGCCUAACACAUGCAAGUCGAACGUGAACGGGCUCCGGCCCUAGCAAAGUGGCGUACGGGUGAGUAACGCGUAGGUAAUCUACCCUAAAGCUGGGAAUAACCUGUCGAAAGACGGGCUAAUACCGAAUAGAGCGAUAGAAUCGUAAAGAUUCUCUCGGGAAAGAGAGGUCGCAAGAUCCCUCACUUUAGGAUGAGCCUGCGUCUCAUUAGCUAGUUGGUAGGGUAAUGGCCUACCAAGGCUGAGAUGAGUAGCUGGUAUUAGAGGACGAUCAGCCACACUGGAACUGAACCACGGUCCAGACUCCUACGGGAGGCAGCAGUGGGGAAUAUUGCGCAAUGGACGAAAGUCUGACGCAGCAACGCCGCGUGAGUGAAGAAGGCCUUAGGGUUGUAAAGCUCUGUCAAGUGGGACGAAAAAUCCAGUAGUUAAUAGCUAUUGGACUUGACGGUACCACUGAAGGAAGCACCGGCUAACUCCGUGCCAGCCGCCGCAGUAA